GAAAGAACAGAGAAGGAAUAGAACAACUUUG
Molecule: ribosomal RNA, 31 nt
Filed under: Zaptyx stimpsoni
Lineage: Eukaryota; Metazoa; Mollusca; Gastropoda; Stylommatophora; Clausiliidae
Also listed under: 1 other name
Description: Hemiphaedusa stimpsoni partial 5.8S rRNA
Source: RNAcentral